CAUUUAGAGGAAGUAAAAGUCGUAACAAGGUUUCCGUAGGUGAACCUGCGGAAGGAUCAUUAUCGAAUUUCGAGGGGGGGAAGAUUGGGGAGUUGGACUGUCGCUGGCCCUCGGGCAUGUGCACGUCUUACUUUUCGUCGACCUUCUCUCACCCACACACACACCUGUGCACCCGUUGUAGGUUCUCGAAAGAGGAUCUAUGUUUUUCACAUCACACCCCUAUCGUAUGUCUACAGAAUGUAUUGAAAUGAAAUAAAUCAUACAACUUUCAGCAACGGAUCUCUUGGCUCUCGCAUCGAUGAAGAACGCAGCGAAUUGCGAUAAGUAAUGUGAAUUGCAGAUUUUCAGUGAAUCAUCGAAUCUUUGAACGCACCUUGCGCUCCUUGGUAUUCCGAGGAGCAUGCCUGUUUGAGUGUCAUUGAAUUCUCAACCAUGUCUUGAUUGACUUCGAGGCAUGGCUUGGAGUUGGGGGUUGCUGGCAGCGAAAAGCUCGUCGGCUCUCCUGAAAUGCAUUAGCAAAGGACGGCAAGUCUUUGACGUGCACGGCCUUCGACGUGAUAAUGAUCGUCGUGGCUGGAGUGUCGGACAUGCAUGAAUCGUUCGUGCUUCCAAUCCAUAUCCAUUCCUAGCUCGAGCUCAGUUGCUUAGCUACUAGUUGGUCGCGAGGCCGACGAACGUUGGGCAAGCUUGCUUUUGGCUGGGGGUUGGCAUUUUCGAAACUUGACCUCAAAUCAGGCAGGACUACCCGCUGAACUUAAGCAUAUCAAUAA
RNAcentral lists this ribosomal RNA (770 nucleotides) under Boletus bicolor. RNAcentral's name for it is "eukaryotic LSU rRNA". The stretch from base 264 to 418 matches the Rfam family "5.8S ribosomal RNA". The record is from RNAcentral. Lineage: Eukaryota; Fungi; Basidiomycota; Agaricomycetes; Boletales; Boletaceae.